Molecule: ribosomal RNA, 254 nt
Filed under: uncultured prokaryote
Description: partial 16S ribosomal RNA
Rfam family: Bacterial small subunit ribosomal RNA
Source: RNAcentral
UACGGGGGGAGCAAGCGUUGUUCGGAUUUACUGGGCGUAAAGGGCGCGUAGGCGGCCAGCACAAGUCAGUUGUGAAAUCUCCGGGCUUAACUCGGAAAGGUCAACUGAUACUGUGCGGCUAGAGUGCGGAAGGGGCAACUGGAAUUCUUGGUGUAGCGGUGAAAUGCGUAGAUAUCGGGAGGAAUACCUAUGGCGAAAGCAGGCUACUGGACCGUCACUGACUCUGAUCUGCGAAAGCCAGGGGAGCAAACGGG